GACAUCUGGUGAUAGAGGAUGGCUUUGGGGCCUGGCUGUCUGCACAGAAAUGUUUGUUGGAUCUCUGAUAAGAGCGGCUGAUGGAAUGCUGUGGCUGAUACCAAGACACAGUCCUUAAGCGUACAGACCUUUGAGGAUAAAGAGCAGUUUAGUUAGGUAGGUUCAGAAAGGUAUUUCAAGAAAAAGAAACUGAGAAGCAAGGGAACUGAGCUCUCCCAGCAGAAAAAGAUCACUAUCACAAUCCUUAACUAACCCUGAGCAUGGAGAUGGUGAAGGGAACGAGACUUCAAUGGUCAGCGAGACUGGUGACCCUCCUGAUAAUACUAACCCAGGAAGAGAGUGGGAGCAGACAAAUGUCAACUCCAGCUUCUCAAGAGGGAGGUGAUGAGCCAGACCGUCCCGGGAAGCGCCACAAAACUAAACUAGCAGGAAAUAAUUCAGGCCCAGGAUUCAUUAGACAUUGCAGAUUUUACCAUCCCAAUUGAGCCUUUAGCACUAAAAUUCAAGAACUUAAUGAAGCGUAAAGACACAUACAUUGUUAGCAUUAGCAAUGCCAUGGAUAAAGUGAAAAGGAAACUGAAUGAAUUACUCACAGAGGAAGAUUAUUAGUUAUUUAUAGAAGGCACUCCUUUGGAAUUUAAGUUUUUGUUGUUAUCUUAGUUUGUAUUGACCAUUAGUUUGGUACUAUUGAUUUGCUUCUUGUGUAGCGUUAACAGGGAAAUAUCUAAGCUGUUAACUCAAGUGAUGGUUACAGAGUUAACCACUCACAGAGAGUACAAAGUCAUGGACAAAUUGAUUCAUGUAGAUGAAACAGUCAUAAUGUUAGUUUGAAUUGAAUUUAUAGUACAAGUAAUUUUCAGCUUUUGUAGUAUGUAUAGUAGAAACGAAUGAUGUUACUCAGCUCAAUGCAUGAUAAUACCCCAGAGGUUUAACAAACUGGAGACAACAAAUAUAGAAUGCUUACUGCCUAAUGGAUUAUAGUGAAUAGACUAGUUCAGUAAUAUCAGUAUGUUUAAGAAGCAUUUUAGAAACGUGAUCAGUAAAUUUCUCAGGGAAAGCAAUGGCAGGACCAAUUGGACACCUUAAAACAUACAUUACUCAGCAUUGUCUGAAGAUAGCUUAAGAUACGAGGCAGGUACAAGAGCAUGAAGAAAAGAUAAAUGAGGCAAGGGUACAGAAGAACGCAAAGGUAAAAGCAACACUUCUCUUGUUACAAUGGCCACUUUGACACUAGACGAGUGUAAGGAAAGAGUUAAACUGAAAAAGUUGUGUAUGAGAAAACCGGCUUCCAAGGAGAGCUCAGAGACCAGCAAUCUAUUGUUUCACUCCCCAACCUUGAAAAGACAUCUGGUCACCCAGAACAGCUUUGGGGCCAGUCUGGCUGCACAGAAAUGUUUUUUUAGUCUCCGAUAAGAACGGCUGAUGGAAUGGUGUGAGUGGGGAUAAAGAGAAGUUUAGUUAGAUUCAAGGAAGUUGCCUGAGAAAUAAAUUGAGAAGCAAAAGACCGCCUGAGCUCUCCCAGGGGAAAGACAGGACCUCAGUUUAACGUCUCAACCAAAGGAAGACACCCAAGC
Callorhinchus milii (elephant shark) is the source of this 1574-nucleotide long non-coding RNA. RefSeq lists it as uncharacterized. The record is from RefSeq and is a predicted model, not a curated record. The transcript is spliced from 3 exons. Lineage: Eukaryota; Metazoa; Chordata; Chondrichthyes; Chimaeriformes; Callorhinchidae.